CCGAGCGAGGGUCCCCCGGGGCCCAACCUCCCACCCGUGUUUACUGUACCUUGUUGCUUCGGCGGGCCCGCCGUUUGUUCGGCCGCCGGGGGGGCAUCGCCCCCCGGGCUCGCGCCCGCCGGAGACCCCAACAUGAACCCUAUCUGAAGCCUUGCAGUCUGAGUCGAUUGUAUCGCAAUCAGUUA
Molecule: unclassified non-coding RNA, 185 nt
Filed under: uncultured Aspergillus
Lineage: Eukaryota; Fungi; Ascomycota; Eurotiomycetes; Eurotiales; Aspergillaceae
Description: sequence contains ITS1
Source: RNAcentral